This is a small nuclear RNA of Fukomys damarensis (Damara mole-rat), 107 nucleotides long. Lineage: Eukaryota; Metazoa; Chordata; Mammalia; Rodentia; Bathyergidae. The record is from Ensembl.
GUGCUCGCUUCGGCAGCACAUAUACUAAAGUUGGAAUGAUACAGAGAAGAUUAGCAUGGCCCCUGCACAAAGAUGACAUGCAAAUUCAUGAAGUGUUCCAUAUUUAA